AUACGGAGGGUGCAAGCGUUAAUCGGAAUUACUGGGCGUAAAGCGUGCGUAGGUGGUUUGUUAAGUUAGAUGUGAAAGCCCCGGGCUCAACCUGGGAACUGCAUUUGAAACUGGCAUACUAGAGUAUAGGAGAGGAAAGUGGAAUUUCAGGUGUAGCGGUGAAAUGCGUAGAUAUCUGAAGGAACAUCAAUGGCGAAGGCAGCUUUCUGGACUAAUACUGACACUGAGGUACGAAAGCGUGGGUAGCAAACAGGAUUAGAGACCCUAGUAGUCC
This 274-nucleotide ribosomal RNA is filed under the name uncultured bacterium. RNAcentral's name for it is "partial 16S ribosomal RNA". It matches the Rfam family "Bacterial small subunit ribosomal RNA", at positions 523 to 796 of the family's 1533-position model. The record is from RNAcentral.